GAUGAACGCUAGCUACAGGCUUAACACAUGCAAGUCGAGGGGUAACAUUGGCUGAGCUUGCUCAGCCAGAUGACGACCGGCGCACGGGUGAGUAACGCGUAUCCAACCUGCCCAUUACUCAGGUAUAGCCCAGUGAAAACUGGAUUAAUCCCUGAUGCGGUCUCGUGCAGACAUCUAAGCGAGACCAAAGUUUUCAACGGUAAUGGAUGGGGAUGCGUCUGAUUAGCUUGUUGGCGGGGUAACGGCCCACCAAGGCGACGAUCAGUAGGGGUUCUGAGAGGAAGGUCCCCCACAUUGGAACUGAGACACGGUCCAAACUCC
Molecule: ribosomal RNA, 321 nt
Filed under: uncultured Prevotella sp.
Lineage: Bacteria; Pseudomonadati; Bacteroidota; Bacteroidia; Bacteroidales; Prevotellaceae
Description: bacterial SSU rRNA
Rfam family: Bacterial small subunit ribosomal RNA
Source: RNAcentral